RNAcentral lists this ribosomal RNA (457 nucleotides) under uncultured bacterium. RNAcentral's name for it is "bacterial SSU rRNA". It matches the Rfam family "Bacterial small subunit ribosomal RNA", at positions 349 to 813 of the family's 1533-position model. The record is from RNAcentral.
CAGCAGUGGGGAAUAUUGCGCAAUGGGCGGAAGCCUGACGCAGCGACGCCGCGUGGGGGAUGACGGCCUUCGGGUCGUAAACCUCUUUCGGCCUUGACGAAGCUCUUCGGGGUGACGGUAGGGGCAGAAGAAGCACCGGCCAACUACGUGCCAGCAGCCGCGGUAAUACGUAGGGUGCGAGCAUUGUCCGGAAUUAUUGGGCGUAAAGAGCUCGUAGGCGGUCUGUCGCGUCGGUCGUGAAAACUUGGGGCUUAACCCUGAGCUUGCGGUCGAUACGGGCAUGACUGGAGUUCGGCAGGGGAGACUGGAAUUCCUGGUGUAGCGGUGAAAUGCGCAGAUAUCAGGAGGAACACCGGUGGCGAAGGCGGGUCUCUGGGCCGAUACUGACGCUGAGGAGCGAAAGCGUGGGGAGCGAACAGGAUUAGAUACCCUGGUAGUCCACGCCGUAAACGGUGGG